AAGGCUAUACUUUCAGGGUUCAUUUCCAUAGUUUGUUACUAGAGAAUUUUCUCUGAUUGUGUAAAAAAAAAAAUUCACUUUAUGGU
Molecule: small nucleolar RNA, 86 nt
Filed under: Heterocephalus glaber (naked mole-rat)
Lineage: Eukaryota; Metazoa; Chordata; Mammalia; Rodentia; Bathyergidae
Description: Small nucleolar RNA U3 (ENSHGLG00100034816.1)
Rfam family: Small nucleolar RNA U3
About the family: Small nucleolar RNAs (snoRNAs) are involved in the processing and modification of rRNA in the nucleolus. There are two main classes of snoRNAs: the box C/D class, and the box H/ACA class.
Source: RNAcentral